AAAACACAAACAUGGUUUUACAGAAUGUUCUGUACUUUCCAUUUGAAAAGAGCUCUGUUUUCUUAAAAAUGAAAAUUUAUUUGGUCGAAAUCAAAGUGAUUUUUUUCGUUUGAAAGUUUUUUUUUCAUGUUUCCAUUGUAAAACUAAAAGUUCUUCCAUUCAACCUUAAAAUAGUAGAACUGUCAAAUAACUCAACAAGCAAAAAGAAAACAAAAAGAAAGACAAAUGAAGAUAAAAUUGUUUCUGUUACGCAUCGGCACUAUAGCAUAUUAGAUGGUAAAAAAAUAAAUUUCUUAUUUAAAACAUCACUUAAAUUCUUGGCCUUUUCUGUAUAAUUAGUUUGUUUACACUUGAAUAUUAAAAUUAACGCACGUACAACUUUUACAAAUAAUAUUUAUACAGUUAUAAUUAUACUUAAACAUAUUAUAAAAAACUGUUUUGUCCAUUCAUCUGAUAAAGAUUCUCAUAGUGUCUCUCAACCUAUCACCGUCGAGCUGUCAACACCUCUCCCUUCACCAGUUCAAACAAUCACAACUCGCAGCGGAUACGACAGCAAAACUGCGUUGCUUUUAAAGCGGGAAAGUGUUAUUCGGAUGUUCUUUAAGUGCAGUCCAAAUCAGUAUACAAAUAUCGGAGGACUGGAAAUGUGUGGCGCAAUGCUCCCAGACGGCUUCGAUUCGAAACCUGACCCCAGCCAGGGACCGGAUCUCGUUCUGAGGCAAUCACAGUGGCCACCGUGUUGAAAAGCUGCAACCUACACCAUCUAUAAAAACUGCCUGAAAUCAUGAAAUAAAAAUAAAAGUAUCAUUGCAAUUUGA
Long non-coding RNA from Armigeres subalbatus, 818 nucleotides. RefSeq lists it as uncharacterized. The record is from RefSeq and is a predicted model, not a curated record. The transcript is spliced from 2 exons. NCBI's taxonomy places the organism in Eukaryota, Metazoa, Arthropoda, Insecta, Diptera, Culicidae.